This 253-nucleotide ribosomal RNA is filed under the name uncultured bacterium. Its description in RNAcentral is "partial 16S ribosomal RNA". It matches the Rfam family "Bacterial small subunit ribosomal RNA", at positions 524 to 776 of the family's 1533-position model. The record is from RNAcentral.
AACGUAGGAGACGAACGUUAUCCGGAGUUACUGGGCGUAAAGUGUGCGCAGGCGGCACCGCAAGUCGAGUGUGAAAGCCCCGGGCUUAACUUGGGAAUUGCGCUCGAAACUAUGGUGCUGGAGUGUGGCAGAGGAAGGUGGAAUUCCAGGUGUAGCGGUGAAAUGCGUAGAGAUCUGGAGGAACACCGAUGGCGAAGGCAGCCUUCUGGGCCAACACUGACGCUCAUGCACGAAAGCGUGGGGAGCAAACAGG